AGAGUUUGACCCUGGCUCAGGACGAACGCUGGCGGCACGCUUAACACAUGCAAGUCGAACGAGAGAAGAGGAGCUUGCUUUUCUGAUCUAGUGGCGGACGGGUGAGUAACACGUGAGCAAUCUGCCUUUCAGAGGGGGAUACCGAUUGGAAACGAUCGUUAAUACCGCAUAACAUAAUUGAACCGCAUGAUUUGAUUAUCAAAGAUUUAUCGCUGAAAGAUGAGCUCGCGUCUGAUUAGCUAGUUGGUAAGGUAACGGCUUACCAAGGCGACGAUCAGUAGCCGGACUGAGAGGUUGAUCGGCCACAUUGGGACUGAGACACGGCCCAGACUCCUACGGGAGGCAGCAGUGGGGAAUAUUGCACAAUGGAGGAAACUCUGAUGCAGCGAUGCCGCGUGAGGGAAGAAGGUUUUAGGAUUGUAAACCUCUGUCUUCAGGGACGAAAAAAGACGGUACCUGAGGAGGAAGCUCCGGCUAACUACGUGCCAGCAGCCGCGGUAAUACGUAGGGAGCGAGCGUUGUCCGGAAUUACUGGGUGUAAAGGGAGCGUAGGCGGGAUCGCAAGUCAGAUGUGAAAACUAUGGGCUUAACCCAUAAACUGCAUUUGAAACUGUGGUUCUUGAGUGAAGUAGAGGUAAGCGGAAUUCCUAGUGUAGCGGUGAAAUGCGUAGAUAUUAGGAGGAACAUCAGUGGCGAAGGCGGCUUACUGGGCUUUAACUGACGCUGAGGCUCGAAAGCGUGGGGAGCAAACAGGAUUAGAUACCCUGGUAGUCCACGCCGUAAACGAUGAUUACUAGGUGUGGGGGGACUGACCCCUUCCGUGCCGCAGCAAACGCAAUAAGUAAUCCACCUGGGGAGUACGACCGCAAGGUUGAAACUCAAAGGAAUUGACGGGGGCCCGCACAAGCAGUGGAGUAUGUGGAUUAAUUCGAAGCAACGCGAAGAACCUUACCAGGUCUUGACAUCGUAUGCAUAGCUCAGAGAUGAGUGAAAUCUCUUCGGAGACAUAUAGACAGGUGGUGCAUGGUUGUCGUCAGCUCGUGUCGUGAGAUGUUGGGUUAAGUCCCGCAACGAGCGCAACCCUUACUGUUAGUUGCUACGCAAGAGCACUCUAGCAGGACUGCCGUUGACAAAACGGAGGAAGGUGGGGAUGACGUCAAAUCAUCAUGCCCCUUAUGACCUGGGCCUCACACGUACUACAAUGGCUGUCAACAGAGGGAAGCAAAGCCGCGAGGUGGAGCGAACCCCUAAAAGCAGUCUUAGUUCGGAUUGUAGGCUGCAACCCGCCUACAUGAAGUCGGAAUUGCUAGUAAUCGCAGAUCAGCAUGCUGCGGUGAAUACGUUCCCGGGCCUUGUACACACCGCCCGUCACGCCAUGGGAGUCGGUAACACCCGAAGCCUGUAGUCUAACCGCAAGGAGGACGCAGUCGAAGGUGGGAUUGAUGACUGGGGUGAAGUCGUAACAAGGUA
Molecule: ribosomal RNA, 1470 nt
Filed under: metagenome
Description: bacterial SSU rRNA
Rfam family: Bacterial small subunit ribosomal RNA
Source: RNAcentral